AUACUUCCCUGGCAGUGAAGUUGCAAUGAUCAUGAAGAUGGUUUUCCCAGAGUGAGGCUCACCCACUGCACUCCAGGUAUGCUGACCCCUGCGAUGUCUCCAAAUGCAGGAAACUCAACUGCAUAAUUUGUGGUAGUGGGGGAUGUCGUUCAUGCUCCGCUGU
RNAcentral lists this small nuclear RNA (163 nucleotides) under Pongo abelii (Sumatran orangutan). It matches the Rfam family "U1 spliceosomal RNA". From Rfam's summary of the family: U1 is a small nuclear RNA (snRNA) component of the spliceosome (involved in pre-mRNA splicing). Its 5' end forms complementary base pairs with the 5' splice junction, thus defining the 5' donor site of an intron. The record is from RNAcentral. Lineage: Eukaryota; Metazoa; Chordata; Mammalia; Primates; Hominidae.